ACUGCCUUGCGAUUCUCUAAAAGUCAAACAAGAACUCGCAUCUCACUACGAAAUUCUCCAUCACUUCGCAUUCGCAAUAGAAUGACCUUGAAUUGGCAUUCUGUAAACACUAAUCUUAAUUACCCUGCCUCGAGCGAAGUGAAGUGACAACGAAGUUUGUUUAUACUACUACUAGGGAUAGCCGUUAACACGCAAAUGUAAAUCGAAGCUUACCGGUUUCAGUUUUUCGUUGUAUUUAUAAGCAUUCUGUAAGAAAAUACUAUGAAUUUAAGCUUUGGUGUUAAAGCCACAUCUAAUUUAACUAAAAAGAAAAUUAAAAGUCAUAUAUUUAUGAUAUUAAUUGUAAUUUCUGGCUGCACGCUAAGUUCCUUUGCGUGCACUAGCGAAUACCAGAAUUAAAAAACAAAAUUUUAAUUGUUUUCAAAACAAUCUCGAGCGGUCGGAAGUUUUUAUUUUACUUUUUCUAGAUUUUUUGUUACUUUGUGAGUGAAUUUAACGUUCAAUAAAAAUUAUGAGGUAAGUAAAAAUUUAACGAGCGUUCUUCUCAUCCGACAUUGGUGCAAAUAGAGGCAUUGAUAGACGUUUUGGAUUAAAAGCUAGCGAAACAAAAGGUUUAAUCGUAUCUCAACAUGUUCAAUAAGAGAACAAGGAUAUUAAAAAAAUAUAGGAACUAAAUUCUCUUGUUAAAUAUGAUCCAUUCCCGGUGAGAUAUUUAGGACAGGUUAACAUCUAUUUAUGUAUGAUAAAUCUAUCUACUACGUUUUUAUUGAUAUUCUAUUUUAACAGGGAAUAUCGGUAAUUUAUCUGUAUCUCAAAUUCACCAAUAACAAAAAAAUUAUAUUGAAUGAAAUAAAUCAAAUCAUUAACAAUUUAGGUAUUGCAAGUUGGAUUGAUGUUGUUGGAAUGUUUUUAUUGAUGCAGAGGUGACUGUAUUUAUGGUAAAGGGUGUGCAUAUUGGUACAGGGGUGGCAGGCAGUUCCAGAGUAUUGACUAAACUAACAUUAUAUAGGCUAAAGGCUGCAUACUCCGUUUAAAAUAAAUGAACAAAAUUUAGGCAUAACCUAUUUUAUUAUAUUUAAGGAACUACAACAGAUUGAAAAUACUAAUCCACAUCAUCAGAAUAUUGUAAGGAGAAUUUAUUGCCAACUCGGAAAAUGUAUCAGUAUUGGAACAAUCCCAAACAUACAGCAUUGCAUCAAGAAUCUCCUAUUUUGCAGUCAUCCUCCCCUAACUAAAUGCAAGUGACUUCUACUUAUUGUGAUGCUACUACUAGUAGCUCCAGCCACAGUAGGUCUCAUGUUAGUCAAGAGAUUGGGUUGUUAGCACUUCAACACCUGACCUGCUAUUUCACCACUUUUCAAUGAAAAGCAGAGUGUACUCAAAUUACAACAAAUUACACAGUACCAGGAUAUAUAACUUAAACAACCAUGGGGGAAUAAAUAGUCGACAGUCUGCAAGAAGGAUGAACUGUUGGUGGAAUUAGCAUAUGCAGCUAGGAAUUUUAAACCUGUAUUUCCACAUAUUACUGAUGCAAACAAAUUUCAAAAUUAUUGUAUAUAACUAUUGAAUAAAACUAUAAUAAAACUAUUUUUAUAAAUCAUUAA
Molecule: long non-coding RNA, 1604 nt
Organism: Bombyx mori (domestic silkworm)
Lineage: Eukaryota; Metazoa; Arthropoda; Insecta; Lepidoptera; Bombycidae
Exons: 4
Source: RefSeq, a predicted model, not a curated record